Molecule: long non-coding RNA, 978 nt
Organism: Vidua macroura (Pin-tailed whydah)
Lineage: Eukaryota; Metazoa; Chordata; Aves; Passeriformes; Viduidae
Exons: 3
Source: RefSeq, a predicted model, not a curated record
CCAAGCUUCUGAGGGAAAAUAGAAAAGGGGGAAGAGGAGGAGGGAUUAUACUCUAUGUAAAAGAGUGAUUUGAGACAUGGGCAAGAGGACAGAUCAGCUGGGGGUGUCUUUGGGUCAAAAUCAGAAGAGACACCAUCAAGGAAGUGCUUGUAGUAGGUGUCUGCUAUGGAAGACCUGAUGUGAAAACAGAUAAAAUCUUCUUCAAACAAUUGAAGACUGGAAGUGGCAGCCUUUGCUGCACUGUUAAGAUUAUCCUAAGGAAUGUGAAGAAGAUCUUCAUGAGGAAGGUUAUGCUUCCAAGUCUCUAUGGAAUCAAUGAGGAAGCAAAUAACAAACUGCUGACAGUUGGAAAAAGCUGAGUUAGCUGAGAUGGAUGUAAUAUUUGCCCUUUUCCAGUCAGCUGGGACUUCCCCCAAGCUCCAUGACCUGUCAAAGAUGUUGCAGUGUGCCUCUGCAAUGAUGCUGGCAAGCCCUCCCAGAGCCUUGACUGCAUUCUGCCAAGUCCCAUUGAUUUGUGUAUGUUCCACUUGUACAGGUGGUCUCAAACACUCCUGAGCUCUUUUGCUCUCCUUGGAAACCUUUCCAACAGUUUUCUGUGAAGCUGAAAUAGGAGUAAUUUGAUGGAUGAGCAUCUGCAUAUAUCGUAUAGAAAUGUGAGACCAGCAAUAGAAACAUGAUAGAACAGACCUGUCAACUGUUUUAGGCAAGUAAAAACCGGUGCAACACCCAGGGAUCGACCAAGUGAUGAGGCAGGCUAAGAAAUUAACCAGAAGAGUUGUGGUAAUCCUCAGCCAAAACAAAGAAACCAUAAAACAACCAGCCAGAAGAAGAAGAAGAAAUAAAAAAGCAGUGUUAAAACACAUCCGACUGGACACUCUGGCAUCCUCACCUACCGCAACAGGGUUCCUUAAUGUUAUGCGGCCAUUGCCUUGUUCAAAAGCCAGAGAGACUUGUAAUAAAGCAUGUUUUCACAAAGUU